GCCGUGGCUCAGUGGUAGAGCAUCUGCUUUGCAUUCAGAAGCUCCCAGGUGCAAUCCCUGGCAGCUUCA
Molecule: non-coding RNA, 69 nt
Organism: Podarcis lilfordi (Lilford's wall lizard)
Lineage: Eukaryota; Metazoa; Chordata; Lepidosauria; Squamata; Lacertidae
Source: the annotation of a GenBank genome assembly